This is a non-coding RNA of Podarcis lilfordi (Lilford's wall lizard), 77 nucleotides long. NCBI's taxonomy places the organism in Eukaryota, Metazoa, Chordata, Lepidosauria, Squamata, Lacertidae. The record is from the annotation of a GenBank genome assembly.
UGGAGAGAAAGCUCAGUCAGUAGAACAUGAGACUCUUCAUUUCAGGGUCAUGGGUUCAAAUCCCACAUUGGGCAAAA